UCCUAUAGCUCAGAUGGUAAAGAAUCUGCCUGCAAUGCAGGAGACCCAGGUUCGAUCCCUGGGUCAGGAA
Molecule: transfer RNA, 70 nt
Filed under: Bos taurus (domestic cattle)
Lineage: Eukaryota; Metazoa; Chordata; Mammalia; Artiodactyla; Bovidae
Also listed under: 5 other names
Rfam family: tRNA
About the family: Transfer RNA (tRNA) molecules are approximately 80 nucleotides in length. Their secondary structure includes four short double-helical elements and three loops (D, anti-codon, and T loops).
Source: Rfam by way of RNAcentral